CAUAUUUCACAAUAUUUUCAUCCUUAAAAAUAUGCCGAAUAAAAUGAAGAGAGUGUUGUCCAUGAUAUAUGUAUUUAUAAAUUUAAUUUAAAGAAAAAAGUGUUUAUGGUUAAAAUUUUAGAAAUUCCCCAAAAUGUUCUUAUAUUAAAAAAAAAAAAAAAGUAGUAAAAAGGAAAAUCAUUUGUUGUUUGAUAUAAAAUACUAAAAAUAACGUUAAAACUACAUACAAUAUGAUGCUAUUCGUACCACAUUUAUUGACCACAAUUGAUGAUCACCUUUCUAACAGAAACAAAACUAUUUAUUCACGUAUCUUACUCUCGC
RNAcentral lists this long non-coding RNA (321 nucleotides) under Prunus persica (peach). Its description in RNAcentral is "long non-coding RNA (PPER_LNC007757)". The record is from RNAcentral. Lineage: Eukaryota; Viridiplantae; Streptophyta; Magnoliopsida; Rosales; Rosaceae.